RNAcentral lists this ribosomal RNA (265 nucleotides) under uncultured bacterium. Its description in RNAcentral is "partial 16S ribosomal RNA". It matches the Rfam family "Bacterial small subunit ribosomal RNA", at positions 793 to 1055 of the family's 1533-position model. The record is from RNAcentral.
GUCCACGCCCUAAACGAUGAUGACUAGUUGUUGGAGGAGUUAAAUCCUUUAGUAACGCAGCUAACGCGAGAAGUCAUCCGCCUGGGGAGUACGGUCGCAAGAUUAAAACUCAAAGGAAUUGACGGGGCCCGCACAAGCGGUGGAUGAUGUGGUUUAAUUCGACGCAACGCGAAAAACCUUACCUACCCUUGACAUGUACGGAACCUCACGGAGACGUGGGGGUGCUCGAAAGAGAGCCGUAACACAGGUGCUGCAUGGCUGUCGG